RNAcentral lists this ribosomal RNA (700 nucleotides) under Puccinia komarovii. Its description in RNAcentral is "eukaryotic LSU rRNA". The stretch from base 234 to 387 matches the Rfam family "5.8S ribosomal RNA". The record is from RNAcentral. Lineage: Eukaryota; Fungi; Basidiomycota; Pucciniomycetes; Pucciniales; Pucciniaceae.
CAAGGUUUCUGUAGGGUGAAACCUGCAGAAGGAUCAUUAUUUAAACAAACUGAGUGCACUUAAUUGUGGCUCAAAAACCCUUUUUUUUUUUUUUUCAUACCCUAACACUUGUUUGUGUGACUUUUGUCAUUGCACUCAGGUAUACGUAACAUUUUUUGUUGCAUUAUCCCCCCCACCCCCUUUAUUAUUAAACACAAGUUUGAAUUAAGAAUGUAAAUUUAUUAUUUUGAAAUAACUUUUAACAAUGGAUCUCUAGGCUCUCAUAUCGAUGAAGAACACAGUGAAAUGUGAUAAGUAAUGUGAAUUGCAGAAUUCAGUGAAUCAUUGAAUCUUUGAACGCAUCUUGCACCUUUUGGUAUUCCAAAAGGUACACCUGUUUGAGUGUCAUGAAAAUUUCUCAUCGAAUUAAUUUUUGGUGGAUGUUGAGUGCUGCUGCUAUCUAGCUCACUUUAAAUAUAUAAGUCAUCUUUUUCCUCUAUUUAUUGGGUUGACUUGGUGUAAUAUUUUUUUUUCAUCAAGGAAAGUAGUAAUACUUGCCAACAUUUGUGGAAUAAGGACUCCUAAAUUGAAUUUAUUUUCAACUUAAUUUUAAGACCUCAAAUCAGGUGGGACUACCUGCUGAACUUAAGCAUAUCAAUAAGCAGAGGAAAAGAAACUAACAAGGAUUCCCCUAGUAAUGGCGAAUGAAGAGGGAAAAGCC